RNAcentral lists this ribosomal RNA (228 nucleotides) under uncultured bacterium. Its description in RNAcentral is "partial 16S ribosomal RNA". It matches the Rfam family "Bacterial small subunit ribosomal RNA", at positions 568 to 796 of the family's 1533-position model. The record is from RNAcentral.
CGCGUAGGCGGUUUGUUAAGUCAGAUGUGAAAGCCCUGGGCUCAACCUGGGAACUGCAUUUGAUACUGGCAAACUGGAGUAUGGUAGAGGAAAGUGGAAUUUCGGGUGUAGCGGUGAAAUGCGUAGAUAUCCGAAGGAACAUCAGUGGCGAAGGCGACUUUCUGGACCAAUACUGACGCUGAGGUGCGAAAGCGUGGGGAGCAAACAGGAUUAGAUACCCUGUAGUCC